RNAcentral lists this ribosomal RNA (253 nucleotides) under uncultured bacterium. RNAcentral describes it as "partial 16S ribosomal RNA". It matches the Rfam family "Bacterial small subunit ribosomal RNA", at positions 524 to 776 of the family's 1533-position model. The record is from RNAcentral.
UACGAGGGGGGCGAGCGUUGUUCGGAAUUAUUGGGCGUAAAGGGUGCGUAGGCGGCCCGACAAGUCUGAUGUGAAAUCCCUGGGCUCAACCCAGGGCCUGCAUCGGAAACUGUCGGGCUUGAGUAUGGGAGAGGUGAGUGGAAUUUCCGGUGUAGCGGUGAAAUGCGUAGAUAUCGGAAGGAACACCUGUGGCGAAAGCGGCUCACUGGACCAUUACUGACGCUGAGGCACGAAAGCUAGGGGAGCAAACAGG